This 273-nucleotide ribosomal RNA is filed under the name uncultured bacterium. Its description in RNAcentral is "partial 16S ribosomal RNA". It matches the Rfam family "Bacterial small subunit ribosomal RNA", at positions 523 to 796 of the family's 1533-position model. The record is from RNAcentral.
AUACGGAGGGUGCAAGCGUUAUUCGGAAUCACUGGGCGUAAAGGACGCGUAGGCGGGUUGGCAAGUCAGAUGUGAAAUCCUACAGCUUAACUGUAGAACUGCAUUUGAAACUGCUAACCUAGAGUAUGGGAGGGGGAGAUGGAAUUAGUGGUGUAGGGGUAAAAUCCGUAGAUAUCACUAGGAAUACCGAAAGCGAAGGCGAUCUCCUGGAACAUAACUGACGCUAGGCGUGAAAGCGUGGGGAGCAAACAGGAUUAGAAACCCUAGUAGUCC